AUACACACACACACACACACACACACACACACACAUAUAUACAUAAUAUACACAUUUCAUAUGCACUUUUGCAAACCAAAAUUUGCAGGUGUGUGUGUGUGUGUGUGUGUGUGUGUGUGUGUGUGU
This 126-nucleotide microRNA precursor is filed under the name Podarcis lilfordi (Lilford's wall lizard). The record is from RNAcentral. Lineage: Eukaryota; Metazoa; Chordata; Lepidosauria; Squamata; Lacertidae.